This 446-nucleotide ribosomal RNA is filed under the name uncultured bacterium. Its description in RNAcentral is "partial 16S ribosomal RNA". It matches the Rfam family "Bacterial small subunit ribosomal RNA", at positions 338 to 795 of the family's 1533-position model. The record is from RNAcentral.
CCUACGGGUGGCAGCAGUCGAGAAUCAUUCACAAUGGGGGAAACCCUGAUGGUGCGACGCCGCGUGGGGGAAUGAAGGUCUUCGGAUUGUAAACCCCUGUCAUGUGGGAGCAAAUUAAAAAGAUAGUACCACAAGAGGAAGAGACGGCUAACUCUGUGCCAGCAGCCGCGGUAAUACAGAGGUCUCAAGCGUUGUUCGGAAUCACUGGGCGUAAAGCGUGCGUAGGCUGUUUCGUAAGUCGUGUGUGAAAGGCGCGGGCUCAACCCGCGGACGGAACAUGAUACUGCGAGACUAGAGUAGUGGAGGGGGAACCGGAAUUCUCGGUGUAGCAGUGAAAUGCGUAGAUAUCGAGAGGAACACUCGUGGCGAAGGCGGGUUCCUGGACAUUAACUGACGCUGAGGCACGAAGGCCAGGGGAGCGAAAGGGAUUAGAUACCCUUGUAGUC